RNA transcript from Populus nigra (black poplar), 1947 nucleotides. RefSeq lists it as uncharacterized. The record is from RefSeq and is a predicted model, not a curated record. The transcript is spliced from 4 exons. NCBI's taxonomy places the organism in Eukaryota, Viridiplantae, Streptophyta, Magnoliopsida, Malpighiales, Salicaceae.
UUGGUUGGUUGGUGCUUUUUUUUCUUUUCUUUUUUAUCUCUCGAAGUAACUAACUGGAAGAAUCUUCUUGUCUGAGAUGCAGAAUGAAUAUUCAAGUUAGCAGCAUCAGUAGUACCAUAACAAGAACACAGCAAAAAGCAUCAUCAUCAUCUCGAAAACCACCUUUCUGUUCCAGUAGAAAGCCCCAAGAUCCCAAAGAAAAUGGUGACACCAAUGGUGAUAAAUUCUCAACAGACUGGGACAAGGCGUGGUCUAACUUCAGGAAGAAAGGGAAAAAAGCAUUCUUCUCUCAGUUCUCUCCAAACAAGUACGUGACCUGGAAUCCUAAGCGCUCGAACUACCCACUGUCUGAAGAAGUUGAUCCCAUCAAGAGAGCAGAGAGGUCAAACCUCAGGUUAUGGACCAGCCCAGAGUUUACUCUAGUGGGGGCGAUUAUAAUUGUCACGUUUCUUUUGGUUUACACCAUUGUUGUACCAUCUAAGUGAUUCUACUUAAUUCCAGUUACUCUCGUAGAAAGCAGGUGCUGUGCUUUAAGGAUACGAGGGAGGGAGCAGACAGGAAAAUGAGUGUAAGGGAUGGAGAUAUAAAUCAUAACUUACCAUUCUUUGACAGUGCAAGCACACAGCCACAGCACCAGGGUUGACAGAUGACAAGCAAAUAUCACUGGAGAAGUCUGGGAUGAUGAAUUGAGAAGUUGGCCUUAUGUCAGAGGUCUUCUAUAUGUUAGCUCGAUGGAUCAUGACUUUCUCUUCGUCCGUUAUAAUGUCUGAGCGCUUCAGUUCGUGGAAGAAUAAAAUAAACCCUACAUUCAUCAAUAAGUUUGCCGCUAAUAUUGCAGUCAAUCUAACCCAGUGAGACUUGCCAUGGCUGCAUCCCACUAUACAUCCACUUCUUUGUGUUCCCUUCAUCAUAAGAACACUUCGUUGUGUCUGCUCUUCUACGUACAAGGACUUUUGGAGUCCUUUUCAAAGGGGACAAGAAAACUUAGAAGGUAACCAAUUAUAUACGAAAUUGAAGUCCUUACGUUGAAAUGGUAAAAAAAAAAAAAUUUAGACCCUGUAUGGUCAUAUGAUGCACAGAACUUGACUUCGUGGCUUUGUUUUGCUUAGUAAAGCCAUCAGAAUAGUGUUUACAAUGUUGGAUCUAUAGAGUUCUUCCUGGUCACCAUAUCAACAACAGGGGCAGAUCCGCAACCGUAACAGACAGAACAAUUUGGUGCAUGAAGAUGUCGGACUAUUUUACAUAAAAACCGACACAAUUUACAAACCCCGCAGGCAUGGCGACUAAAAGUCGCUUCAAAUUCUCUCUGACGUAAAAGCUAGAAUAUGUGCGUAUAUACCCCCAUCGAUCCCUCCUCUCUUAUCAGUAUCUCCGAAGUUUCUGCCUUUACUCGUUUAUUUUAUAUCACAGACCAAAUUUGUUCUUUCUGUGCCAAAUUGCUUGCUGAGUUCUCUCUCCAAAACUACAAAGUAGCUAGCUGUCAUAGUGUUAGGCGCGAGGGCGCGCCAACAUAAACAUUGCUGGAGUUACAGCACCAUGCAUAGUCAAUGACAGAUUCAACAGCAGUGUAUCGGUGUGUGCAAGCAACGGGUUCAUGUUUGGCAUGACUUCUGAUUUGAAUGGUAGGUUGUCCAAAGUAUGCAGCAACACAACAACACUGGCAGAAUGGGUUUUGGCAAGUUGGCUUAUGGUUUGAUUGGUUUAAGACCAAGGCAACUUGUUGCGGGUUAGGCAGUUUUCAGCAUUUAUUAGCAUUUGGUUGUCUUGGGUGAAGAUUGUCUAGAUUUGUUUUGGGAGAUAGUUUAUUUGUAGCUUUUGUAUUUUUUUAAUAAUAUAAAUAGGCCAAAGAGUUGUGUAGCAUGCAGAGAUAAUUGUGCAUUACACACAUAAAGACUUUUGUGUAUUCCUUUGUUAAAGAUUAAUAAAGGUUGGGAUUGUUUCUUAUAA